CUCUCCUCCCACCACCUCAGUGACUCUAUGUGAGCAUGUCCUCAGUACAGACUCGGUCGUUCUGUUGGCGGUUGACAGUUAUGGCAUUGCAGAUUGCCUCUGCAAUACUGUUGCAGGGGCUGAAGAUGAGGGAGCAAUGUGACCCAUAAUAUAUUGGUCAACAUACUACCUAAUAUUGCUUCAAAGGGUUUUUGUUUUUACAUAAGAGGGAAGCUAAGAACUCAGCAAGAAGGGAGAAGCGUCGUAUGGUGAAGAUGUCUACAUCAUUUGACCAAUCUCAGAGAAACAAGUAGCCAAUCUGCUUAUCUACGCAUCACAUCUGAUAGCUUCCGAGAACUGGUGCUGUUA
Octopus bimaculoides (California two-spot octopus) is the source of this 348-nucleotide long non-coding RNA. The record is from RefSeq and is a predicted model, not a curated record. NCBI's taxonomy places the organism in Eukaryota, Metazoa, Mollusca, Cephalopoda, Octopoda, Octopodidae.